This is a long non-coding RNA of Dipodomys ordii (Ord's kangaroo rat), 1172 nucleotides long. RefSeq lists it as uncharacterized. Lineage: Eukaryota; Metazoa; Chordata; Mammalia; Rodentia; Heteromyidae. The transcript has 4 exons. The record is from RefSeq and is a predicted model, not a curated record.
CUGGCACAGGUCUCAAAGCUCAUUUUGAAACACAGGUGCGGGAGCCUCCAUCCCCUCUUCUACAAAAUGACAGCUUCACAUCAGUGAAUGCAGCCAAGAAAAGCUUGAGAAGACCAGAAGACGCCCGGUGCCUGUGCCCCGGCAUGUGGGGAUGAUGGCAGGCCAGGAGGUGUGGCGAGGUCACAGGGAACGAGGCAGUUCUCAGAAGCAUGGCUAAAACAAAAGCAGCUCACUGUGCACAAACGAGGCCAGUCAAGGCGCACGGGCCUGCCGUUGGGCUGACCCUAUGCAUCUCCGGAAGACCAGGACGGGUCCCAGCCACUGCAAUUGUGCUGUGAAGUGGCGGCUGGCCGAGGGCACUGGCAUGCCGGCGCACCGAGGCUGCUGGGGCCAGGGCCAGGGCCAGCAAUUCUCUGCGUCAGGAUUAUGGUGUCUGAAUUUGAUGCCAAUGUUCUGUUUCUGCUGAACUACCGCAGGAAGAUGAUGGACAACUGCAGGCCCUGGCCAUCUUGCCUGUGGGUCAUUUUUUGGAUCUCCGGGCGGGUCCCCAGCCUAUGAGGCCAGGCCCAUCUGACAGCCACAGGAAUAUCCAGAUCUCUGUAGUGCUUGUCGUCUGUGGUAUCUACCAUUUUGCAUCUAAAACAGUUCCUGUCAUGCAGUCGUGCCACUGACUGGGAAUGGGAACAGGUCAGGGUCUCUUUGCAAUGCUAGCUCAGCCCAUAGAUUUUUUUCAAAAGGGAAUACGGAUUCGAGAGCUCACUGCUGACCUGCCAGCCCGCUCAGAGCUGCACGCCACGAGUCCCCGCAGGAAUGUGGCUGAAAUCGGGCUGUGUGGUGGCUGCUGUGUGUGCUGGGGGUGAGUUAGCAAAGCACAGUCACUUUCCUCCCUGGCAGUGGUGAUCCCGGGGCCUGGUGGCCUUUCUUCACUUCAUGUGGGGGUUGUGCAAGCUUCCGAAUGCACACGUCCCGGCGAUGGCCCAAGAGCCCACACAGCAAGUGACACAAAGCCCCUACAUGCUCGCCCCCCCGCCCAGGGCCCACUUCCUCCAUUGGCUUCCCCUACCACCCUCAGUCCUGCCUCUUCCUCCUUCUCCCUGCUCACUACCCAGCGGUCUCCUCACUUCAAGAGCCCUUGGGUCGCCCUUCCCUGAGCAUGUGAUGACUUCUCAAAC